GCUAGCGUAGCAAAGUCUGGCAAAUGCAAAAGGCUUAAGCCCUUUAAUCAGAGGUUCAAAUCCCCUCCCUAGCU
RNAcentral lists this transfer RNA (74 nucleotides) under Polihierax insignis (white-rumped falcon). RNAcentral describes it as "tRNA-Leu". It matches the Rfam family "tRNA". From Rfam's summary of the family: Transfer RNA (tRNA) molecules are approximately 80 nucleotides in length. Their secondary structure includes four short double-helical elements and three loops (D, anti-codon, and T loops). The record is from RNAcentral. Lineage: Eukaryota; Metazoa; Chordata; Aves; Falconiformes; Falconidae.